UGGGAUCAUGUGAGAACACAUCCCUUAUGUGAGAACUCUAAUAUAUAUGAGAACAAAUCUAGCCAUUGAUCAAAUUAAAUCUAACCAUCAAAAAAAAAAUAAUAAUGACAUUUUCGUAAUUUCUUGAAUUACACCUCCAUUCUCUUUGCUAUUCUUCUUGGCUUUCACGUUCAACAUCUCUUUCUCCUCAAAAUUUCAAACCUCUUGUAUUUCUCUCUCCUCAAAUCCCAAAAUCGAACACAAAAUUGUUGCAAAUUGAAGAAUUUUUGUUCAAAUUUCACAUAAAACAACCUAAAUUGCUCAAAUCAGGUUUAUGGAAAUGCUGAAAAAGCUCGAGAUAUCCUUGUUGGAGCUACAUUUGGAGAUGUUCCUGUGAUAUCAUGUCCAAUUGUCAAAGCCACUUUUGGAGGCAUUAAUACAUUUGGAAUCUAUCUAGUCGCUCCCAAAACAAAUUGAUUAUAUGGAUUCUUUGGUUGAUAAGUACCUGGCUCCAACGCUUGAUAGUUCUGAUGCUGCCAGUAUACUUGAAAGAAAAGAAUUAUCAAGCAUAUAUAUGGAGGUUUGCAAGCUGUUGUUAGUUUUGUGCUUGAACAUGAACUAUCUGCAGAACCAUUUUCUUUGGUGGCUGAGGAGUUAACAUAUUGGUGGUCGAUCCUUAAUGGUUACACUUCUCUGUUUAAUUUGGUGAAAUCGAAGAUGCAUACAAAGUAUACGGAAUUAGGGAGUAAUAUUCUUUGCACUCCUAGAAGUGGCUUGCUAGAUGGUAACAGGAGAAGGACAAGCAACAAUAUUACGGAAGUUGUACCUGAAAGCUAUACGUAGACCACAUAUCGAUGCUUGCUGUGAUGUUGUCACUGCCAUGCUAUAUGGUGCUGCUAUUAAUUAAUCUGUUGAUGCUCCUAUCCCAGUGUCCCUUAUGUAUGCCUUGUUGGAUAAUUUGUCUCCUUGUGAUGUCUGUAGAUUACAUAUGUUACCAUUGGAAAGGACAUAUAUCUGUUACAAAUGAGCAACUAACUAUUUGCUUAUUUGUUAAAUGAGCAAAAAUUCGAUUGCUCAUUUCCUAACUGAUCAAAGAAAUAUUUGCUUAUUUUACAGAUGAGUAACU
Molecule: long non-coding RNA, 1105 nt
Organism: Chenopodium quinoa (quinoa)
Lineage: Eukaryota; Viridiplantae; Streptophyta; Magnoliopsida; Caryophyllales; Amaranthaceae
Exons: 4
Source: RefSeq, a predicted model, not a curated record